GUCGGCGUGGCGGAACUGGCAGACGCGCCGGACUUAGGAUCCGGUGGGGCAACCCAUGGAGGUUCGAGUCCUCUCGCCGACACCA
This 85-nucleotide transfer RNA is filed under the name Candidatus Dormiibacterota bacterium. Its description in RNAcentral is "tRNA-Leu". It matches the Rfam family "tRNA". Rfam says of the family: Transfer RNA (tRNA) molecules are approximately 80 nucleotides in length. Their secondary structure includes four short double-helical elements and three loops (D, anti-codon, and T loops). Further hydrogen bonds mediate the characteristic L-shaped molecular structure. tRNAs have two regions of fundamental functional importance: the anti-codon, which is responsible for specific mRNA codon recognition, and the 3' end, to which the tRNAs corresponding amino acid is attached (by aminoacyl-tRNA synthetases). tRNAs cope with the degeneracy of the genetic code in two manners: having more than one tRNA (with a specific anti-codon) for a particular amino acid; and 'wobble' base-pairing, i.e. permitting non-standard base-pairing at the 3rd anti-codon position. The record is from RNAcentral. Lineage: Bacteria; Bacillati; Candidatus Dormiibacterota.